RNAcentral lists this unclassified non-coding RNA (289 nucleotides) under plant metagenome. RNAcentral's name for it is "partial contains small subunit ribosomal RNA, internal transcribed spacer 1, and 5.8S ribosomal RNA". The stretch from base 241 to 289 matches the Rfam family "5.8S ribosomal RNA", at positions 1 to 49 of the family's 154-position model. The record is from RNAcentral.
UUUCCGUAGGUGAACCUGCGGAAGGAUCAUUAAUGAGUUGUCAUGGGGUUCGAUGCUGGCAGCCAAUUUUUGGAUGCAUGUGCUUGCCCUAACAAUCAUCUUCCAAACACCUGUGCACAUUUUUGAGGGAGUCUUGAGUUGGUUGCCGCUCUUGGGUGAUUUUCUCACAUUCCCUUAAAUCAUUAUACGCUAUUAACAAUGUUGAACGUGCUCUGUGCCGCAAGGCUAUUAAUAUAAUACAACUUUUAACAACGGAUCUCUUGGCUCUCGCAUCGAUGAAUAACGCAGC